Molecule: long non-coding RNA, 2375 nt
Organism: Tetranychus urticae (two-spotted spider mite)
Lineage: Eukaryota; Metazoa; Arthropoda; Arachnida; Trombidiformes; Tetranychidae
Source: RefSeq, a predicted model, not a curated record
GGUGAAAUGGUCAAUGUUGAAUGUGUCAGGUUUGUUCAAGUUUAUGCAUAAUCAGUUUGUUUUUGUUUUAAUUUAAACUUGAAAUUGUUAUGUCAUUCAAUGAUCAACUUAUUUGUUCACUUAUUUUAAUCAAGAGUUUAUUUGCUCUGUAAAUUUAAGCAGAAAAGGUAUAAUUAUGGUUUCCACACAAAGGACUCUUUAGGUUAGCUUAUUUUGAUUGAAGAGGCUGAAUUGAAUUUAUAAUUGUUUUGACAAUUUUGAUUUACUUUGACUUAUUAACUUUCAAAAUUUAACCAAGACUUGAGUUGGUUUGAUAAGAAUCUAAUUUACGAAAAUUUCAAUCAAUUUCGUAAUGAGUCUGUUAUUCAAUUAAUGCACAGCCCCUAAAAGCUGGUUACCAUUAGAUGGCUUUGUUAUUGUUUACCUUGUUUAAUUGCCCAUCAAUACAUAAUCAACACGUUAUUCUUUACAAAUUGAUUAAUCUCUAAAUGUGUUUCUUAAUAGUCAACAUGAACUUGUAGCAGUGAUUUACAAUGUUUUUGCUGGAUCUGAUUAGAUUAACCAAAUCCAAAUAAAGUGGAGAGACAGACACAAUCAAAGAUGAUUCCUGCAGUGUAAACAAUUGAAGUUAAUUGUUGAUGAUUGGUAACAUCAUCUACAGCUACAAGAGACGGAAAAGGAAAUCUAAAAUGUUAAGUCUUCUUUUUUUCAGGUUGGACCCAUUCUGGUAAUCAUGAUGAUAAUCAUUCUCAUUCCCAUCUCACCUCAUCACCAUCAUCAACAACAACAAAAACAGCAUUUACCAGUUGAACUACAAUUUAGUUGAAGGAGAGACAAAAAAAUGUAGGAACCAAGACCAGCGUGUAGAGAGACCAGGAUAAAAAGGGUAACCAACAGGUUAAGAGGAAUCCUGAAGCGAGCAUAAACAUGAUGGAACAGAAUGUUUUUUUUUUCGUUAACGUGGCGAUGAAAACGUUAGACCUUUUUUUGUGAAUCUGUUCAUAGUUGGAUGGUUAUUAUUGUUAUGUUACAAGUCCAAACCCGGUAUUUGGAUGAUGAUGUUUUAAAGUUGCCUGGUUCCUUCAGUUUCAUCCUUCUUGUUCUUCUUGCUCUUCUCUUUUUUUCCUUUCGCCUCAUGAAAAAAGAGGAAUCUGUUUAAGCUUGAAAGAAGAUUUCAAGGUAACCUUGAGUUCUCUCUCAGUCUGAACAAAAGUAGCUUAACCAUAACAAAAAAAUAAUGGUAAACAGAUAAACACAGAAACACAGAGAACCAGCUUCAUGAAGCUAAACUUGAAUUUCAUGAAUGAAAAACAAGAGAAAGAGAGAGAAGAACAAGAAAAAAACUCCGCCUUUCUACGUGAAAAUAGUCAUCAUUAUCAUUAUCAUCAUCAUCAUCUUUAUCAUCAUGAUCAUCAUAAUCAUCUCUCACUCACCUUUCCCCUGAUUCUCGUUCUUUGACUUCCUCUUUCUUUCUACUUUCCCUGGUUCUUGUUUUUACCAUCCCUUCACUCAUAACUCCCACAUCAACAUCAACUUUCAUUGUAACCGGUUGAAACAAUUUAUUAUCAACUGAUUAUUUUGAUUAUCAUUAUGUAUUAUUAUGUUCCAGACUUGAUGUAAGCUUGAGUUGAAGUGUUCAAUCUAAUUGACACUUUUUUCAACUCUUCUAGUCCACAUUAAUUCUUACCUUAAAAUGUAACUUCCAUCAAUGUAUCAACCGCUUAUUUUUAAUCAUCAGGAACAAAUAAGCUAAACUAUCAAUUCACUACCUUUAAAGUUAAUCACUUUGAUAACCCAAAUAAGAUGACAUAAUGAUAUUGUCUCAUAUGUCUAGCCUGAUAAUCAUAACUAUUAAUUGUUUCAACCAUAUUUAAACCUUAUUGUCAGCAAUCAAUCUAUUUUUAUAUUGUAAAAUGUCAGUCAACUUUGUUGAACUGCUAUGUUUAUUUUGAUUGUGAAAAAAAUGCUAACUACAAUUAAUCUCACAAUUUUUACUAUUUUAUCCUGUUAAUGUAAUGAUUGUGUUCUGAUGGUUGCAAUAAUAACAAUAAUUGUCCAACAUUGUUGAUAAAAAUUACCUUUACUAUGUAAAUUGAAUCAAAUAUUUGUUAAUCUAAUUUCAUAUUUUUUUCAUAUAAAUCAUUAUGUUUACUCAUACAAUCUUUAAUUAAGCUUGUAGUCUCUCCUUGGACUUAUUGUAAUCAAACUUAAUCAAGCUAACAUCCGUUCACCUGUUGUUAGAUUAUUAUUUGCCCGUAUCACAGUGAGAAAGCAAUUUAAUUAUGAAUUAAUUGUUUAUUGUCACUAUUAAUAGACUUUUCCAGGUUACGUUAGAAAAGGAUUUCAAGAUUAAACGCUUAACAUACAAAAUGAAA